Molecule: long non-coding RNA, 295 nt
Filed under: Helianthus annuus (common sunflower)
Lineage: Eukaryota; Viridiplantae; Streptophyta; Magnoliopsida; Asterales; Asteraceae
Description: sRNA HanXRQr2_Chr15g0681371
Source: RNAcentral
UUUUGGAAAUGCUGAGGGUCUUUCUGGAAGCAACCUCUCGAUCCCCAUGGAUAGAGAGAGGUUUGGCUUAUCACUACGAUGCUGUUUUUUCACAAGUCGAAAUUGCUGUUAGAAGUUAGAUCAAAUAAUGCCUUCAACAUUCAACUAAGAUUGUGAAUUUUAGAGGAUAUCUAGUGAAUAAGUGUUGAAUUGCUGGUUUUUUAUUUAUUUUAUGAUAUGUCAGCUCCAAAAUCAGUAAGAGCAUGAUAACCAUGUCUGCUUGUUUAUAGUAUACUUUCUUAUACAUUUUUUUUAU